Molecule: ribosomal RNA, 254 nt
Filed under: uncultured bacterium
Lineage: Bacteria
Description: partial 16S ribosomal RNA
Rfam family: Bacterial small subunit ribosomal RNA
Source: RNAcentral
UACGUAGGGUGCGAGCGUUAAUCGGAAUUAUUGGGCGUAAAGCGUGCGCAGGCGGUUAUUUAAGUCAGGUGUGAAAGCCCUGGGCUUAACCUAGGAAUUGCGCUUGAGACUGGAUAGCUUGGAGUGCGGCAGAGGGAGGUGGAAUUCCACGUGUAGCAGUGAAAUGCGUAGAGAUGUGGAGGAACACCGAUGGCGAAGGCAGCCUCCUGGGCCAGCACUGACGCUCAUGCACGAAAGCGUGGGGAGCAAACAGG